GAUGAACGCUGGAGGAGUGCAUAAAACAUGCAAGACGAGCAAACGGAAGAAAAAAUAAAUUAAAUGAUAUUAAAGAAGGAAGGAAAAAUCAAACAUGGAUAAACUAACUAUAAGACUGGGAUAACUUCGGGAAACCGGAGCUAAUACCGGAUAAUAUUUUGAACCGCAUGGUUCAAAAGUGAAAGACGGUCUUGCUGUCACUUAUAGAUGGAUCCGCGCUGCAUUAGCUAGUUGGUAAGGUAACGGCUUACCAAGGCAACGAUGCAUAGCCGACCUGAGGGGGUGAUCGGCCACACUGGAACUGAGACACGGUCCAGACUCCUACGGGAGGCAGCAGUAGGGAAUCUUCCGCAAUGGGCGAAAGCCUGACGGAGCAACGCCGCGUGAGUGAUGAAGGUCUUCGGAUCGUAAAACUCUGUUAUUAGGGAAGAACAUAUGUGUAAGUAACUGUGCACAUCUUGACGGUACCUAAUCAGAAAGCCACGGCUAACUACGUG
RNAcentral lists this ribosomal RNA (497 nucleotides) under uncultured bacterium. Its description in RNAcentral is "partial 16S ribosomal RNA". It matches the Rfam family "Bacterial small subunit ribosomal RNA", at positions 28 to 507 of the family's 1533-position model. The record is from RNAcentral.